RNAcentral lists this ribosomal RNA (249 nucleotides) under uncultured Actinomycetales bacterium. RNAcentral describes it as "partial 16S ribosomal RNA". It matches the Rfam family "Bacterial small subunit ribosomal RNA", at positions 84 to 334 of the family's 1533-position model. The record is from RNAcentral. Lineage: Bacteria; Bacillati; Actinomycetota; Actinomycetes; Actinomycetales.
GGGGUGCUCGAGCGGCGAACGGGUGAGUAACACGUGAGUAACCUGCCCUUGACUUUGGGAUAACUUCAGGAAACUGGGGCUAAUACCGGAUAGGAGCUCCUGCUGCAUGGUGGGGGUUGGAAAGUUUCGGCGGUUAGGGAUGGACUCGCGGAUUAUCAGCUUGUUGGUGGGGUAGUGGCUUACCAAGGCUUUGACGGGUAGCCGGCCUGAGAGGGUGACCGGCCACAUUGGGACUGAGAUACGGCCCAG